GGAGGCGGGUGCUAAUACAUGCAAGUCGAGCGAAUGGAUUAAGAGCUUGCUCUUAUGAAGUUAGCGGCGGACGGGUGAGUAACACGUGGGUAACCUGCCCAUAAGACUGGGAUAACUCCGGGAAACCGGGGCUAAUACCGGAUAACAUUUUGAACCGCAUGGUUCGAAAUUGAAAGGCGGCUUCGGCUGUCACUUAUGGAUGGACCCGCGUCGCAUUAGCUAGUUGGUGAGGUAACGGCUCACCAAGGCAACGAUGCGUAGCCGACCUGAGAGGGUGAUCGGCCACACUGGGACUGAGACACGGCCCAGACUCCUACGGGAGGCAGCAGUAGGGAAUCUUCCGCAAUGGACGAAAGUCUGACGGAGCAACGCCGCGUGAGUGAUGAAGGCUUUCGGGUCGUAAAACUCUGUUGUUAGGGAAGAACAAGUGCUAGUUGAAUAAGCUGGCACCUUGACGGUACCUAACCAGAAAGCCACGGCUAACUACGUGCCAGCAGCCGCGGUAAUACGUAGGUGGCAAGCGUUAUCCGGAAUUAUUGGGCGUAAAGCGCGCGCAGGUGGUUUCUUAAGUCUGAUGUGAAAGCCCACGGCUCAACCGUGGAGGGUCAUUGGAAACUGGGAGACUUGAGUGCAGAAGAGGAAAGUGGAAUUCCAUGUGUAGCGGUGAAAUGCGUAGAGAUAUGGAGGAACACCAGUGGCGAAGGCGACUUUCUGGUCUGUAACUGACACUGAGGCGCG
This 738-nucleotide ribosomal RNA is filed under the name Bacillus cereus. RNAcentral describes it as "bacterial SSU rRNA". It matches the Rfam family "Bacterial small subunit ribosomal RNA", at positions 38 to 755 of the family's 1533-position model. Lineage: Bacteria; Bacillati; Bacillota; Bacilli; Caryophanales; Bacillaceae. The record is from RNAcentral.